This 76-nucleotide transfer RNA is filed under the name Candidatus Beckwithbacteria bacterium. RNAcentral's name for it is "tRNA-Thr". It matches the Rfam family "tRNA". From Rfam's summary of the family: Transfer RNA (tRNA) molecules are approximately 80 nucleotides in length. Their secondary structure includes four short double-helical elements and three loops (D, anti-codon, and T loops). Further hydrogen bonds mediate the characteristic L-shaped molecular structure. tRNAs have two regions of fundamental functional importance: the anti-codon, which is responsible for specific mRNA codon recognition, and the 3' end, to which the tRNAs corresponding amino acid is attached (by aminoacyl-tRNA synthetases). tRNAs cope with the degeneracy of the genetic code in two manners: having more than one tRNA (with a specific anti-codon) for a particular amino acid; and 'wobble' base-pairing, i.e. permitting non-standard base-pairing at the 3rd anti-codon position. Lineage: Bacteria; Candidatus Beckwithiibacteriota. The record is from RNAcentral.
GCCGUCUUAGCUCAGUUGGCAGAGCGGCGGUAUCGUAAACCGCAGGUCCCCGGUUCGAUCCCGGGAGACGGCUCCA